AUGGACAAUGAGUACUCAAUGGGAUACUAUCUCACCGAUGGCAUCUAUUCCGAAUGGGCAACUCUUGUGAAGUCCAUCAAGGAGAAAAAUGGGGUGCCCUUAACAAGAAAAGAGGCUCAUUUCACCAAGGCACAAGAGGCAGCCCGCAAGGAUAUUGAGAGAGCUUUCGGUGUUUUGCAAGCAAGGUUUGCCAUAGUUCGGGGUCCAGCUCGGUUUUGGGACAAAAAAACCUUGGUGAACAUCAUGAAAUGUUGUGUGAUUCUACACAACAUGAUCCUAGAGGAUGAGAGAGGGUUAAACCUCCCUUGUUUCUAUGACAAUGUUGGUACCUGUGUGCAAUCGGAAAGAAACCCUUCUCGCAUACACGCUUUUCUUCAAGCACAUCGUGAGAUUGAGGAUGCAACCACUCAUGGUCGCCUCCGGGAUGAUCUAGUAGAGCACCACUGGCAGUUGGAUGGGCAGCGCAUUGGCCCAUGA
This 477-nucleotide ribosomal RNA is filed under the name Triticum aestivum (bread wheat). RNAcentral describes it as "partial small subunit ribosomal RNA". Lineage: Eukaryota; Viridiplantae; Streptophyta; Magnoliopsida; Poales; Poaceae. The record is from RNAcentral.